UGCCUCACAAUGGUCUCUUUAGGCCCAGC
This 29-nucleotide non-coding RNA is filed under the name Homo sapiens (human). Lineage: Eukaryota; Metazoa; Chordata; Mammalia; Primates; Hominidae. The record is from RNAcentral.